GCAUAUCAAUAAGCGGAGGAAAAGAAACUAACAAGGAUUCCCCUAGUAACGGCGAGUGAACCGGGAAGAGCUCAAAUUUGAAAUCUGGCUUUCGGGCCCGAGUUGUAAUCUAUAGAGGCGUUUUCCGCGCUGGAUCGUGUCCAAGUCUCUUGGAACAGAGUAUCAAAGAGGGUGAUAAUCCCGUACUUAACACGACCACCAGUGCUAUGUGAUACGUCUUCUACGAGUCGAGUUGUUUGGGAAUGCAGCUCAAAAUGGGUGGUAAAUUCCAUCUAAAGCUAAAUAUUGGCGAGAGACCGAUAGCGAACAAGUACCGUGAGGGAAAGAUGAAAAGCACUUUGGAAAGAGAGUUAAACAGUACGUGAAAUUGUUGAAAGGGAAACGAUUGAAGUCAGUCGUGUUCAUUGGAUUCAGCUAGUUCUGCUAGUCUACUUCCUUUGAACGGGUCAACAUCAGUUUUGUCUGGUGGAUAAGGGUGAGAGGAAUGUGGCACCUUCGGGUGUGUUAUAGCCUCUUAUCGCAUACACUGGGUGAGACUGAGGAAUGCAGCUUGCCUUUUGGCCGGGGUUCGCCCACGUACAAGCUUAGGAUGUUGACAUAAUGGCUUUAAACGACCCGUCUUGAAACACGGACCAAGGAGUCUAACAUAUCUGC
This 654-nucleotide ribosomal RNA is filed under the name Takashimella lagerstroemiae. RNAcentral's name for it is "LSU rRNA". It matches the Rfam family "Eukaryotic large subunit ribosomal RNA", at positions 38 to 687 of the family's 3401-position model. The record is from RNAcentral. Lineage: Eukaryota; Fungi; Basidiomycota; Tremellomycetes; Trichosporonales; Tetragoniomycetaceae.